AAGACCUUGCGCUUUUGGAGCGGCCGAUGCCUGAUUAGCUAGUUGGUGGGGUAAUGGCCUACCAAAGCUUCGAUCAGUAGCUGGUCUGAGAGGACGGCCAGCCACACUGGGACUGAGACACGGCCCAGACUCCUACGGGAGGCAGCAGUGGGGAAUUUUGGACAAUGGGCGCAAGCCUGAUCCAGCCAUGCCGCGUGAGUGAAGAAGGCCUUCGGGUUGUAAAGCUCUUUCAGCCGGGAAGAAAAGGUUGCGAUUAAUAAUCGCAAUUUAUGACGGUACCGGAAGAAGAAGCACCGGCUAACUACGUGCCAGCAGCCGCGGUAAUACGUAGGGUGCGAGCGUUAAUCGGAUUUACUGGGCGUAAAGGGUGCGCAGGCGGUUUUGUAAGUCAGAUGUGAAAUCCCCGGGCUUAACCUGGGAACU
This 423-nucleotide ribosomal RNA is filed under the name uncultured bacterium. RNAcentral describes it as "bacterial SSU rRNA". It matches the Rfam family "Bacterial small subunit ribosomal RNA", at positions 207 to 622 of the family's 1533-position model. The record is from RNAcentral.